AGAGUUUGAUUAUGGCUCAGGAUGAACGCUAGCGAUAGGCCUAACACAUGCAAGUCGAGGGGCAGCACAUGAAGUAGCAAUACGGAUGGUGGCGACCGGCGCACGGGUGAGUAACGCGUAUGCAACCUGCCUACAACAGGGGAAUAACCCGUUGAAAGACGGACCAAUACCCCAUAACACAGGGAUCCCGCAUGGGAAUAUUUGUUAAAGAUUUAUCGGUUGUAGAUGGGCAUGCGUUCCAUUAGCUUGUUGGUGAGGUAACGGCUCACCAAGGCAACGAUGGAUAGGGGAACUGAGAGGUUUAUCCCCCACACUGGUACUGAGACACGGACCAGACUCCUACGGGAGGCAGCAGUGAGGAAUAUUGGUCAAUGGACGCAAGUCUGAACCAGCCACGUCGCGUGAAGGAAGACGGCCCUACGGGUUGUAAACUUCUUUUGUAAGGGAAUAAAGUGUAGUACGUGUACUAUUUUGCAUGUACCUUACGAAUAAGGAUCGGCUAACUCCGUGCCAGCAGCCGCGGUAAUACGGAGGAUCCGAGCGUUAUCCGGAUUUAUUGGGUUUAAAGGGUGCGCAGGCGGGAGAUUAAGUCGGCGGUGAAAUUUUGCAGCUCAACUGUAAAAGUGCCUUCGAAACUGGUUUCCUUGAGUGUGGAUGAAGUAGGCGGAAUUUGUGGUGUAGCGGUGAAAUGCAUAGAUAUCACGAGGAACUCCGAUUGCGCAGGCAGCUUACUAAACCAUAACUGACGCUCAGGCACGAAGGCGUGGGGAUCAAACAGGAUUAGAUACCCUGGUAGUC
This 798-nucleotide ribosomal RNA is filed under the name uncultured Porphyromonadaceae bacterium. RNAcentral's name for it is "bacterial SSU rRNA". It matches the Rfam family "Bacterial small subunit ribosomal RNA", at positions 8 to 795 of the family's 1533-position model. Lineage: Bacteria; Pseudomonadati; Bacteroidota; Bacteroidia; Bacteroidales; Porphyromonadaceae. The record is from RNAcentral.